GCGGGUGUGGUUCAAUGGUAGAACAUCAGCUUCCCAAGCUGGGGACGUGGGUUCGAUUCCCAUCACCCGCU
RNAcentral lists this transfer RNA (71 nucleotides) under Elusimicrobia bacterium ADurb.Bin231. Its description in RNAcentral is "tRNA-Gly". It matches the Rfam family "tRNA". From Rfam's summary of the family: Transfer RNA (tRNA) molecules are approximately 80 nucleotides in length. Their secondary structure includes four short double-helical elements and three loops (D, anti-codon, and T loops). Further hydrogen bonds mediate the characteristic L-shaped molecular structure. tRNAs have two regions of fundamental functional importance: the anti-codon, which is responsible for specific mRNA codon recognition, and the 3' end, to which the tRNAs corresponding amino acid is attached (by aminoacyl-tRNA synthetases). tRNAs cope with the degeneracy of the genetic code in two manners: having more than one tRNA (with a specific anti-codon) for a particular amino acid; and 'wobble' base-pairing, i.e. permitting non-standard base-pairing at the 3rd anti-codon position. Lineage: Bacteria; Pseudomonadati; Elusimicrobiota. The record is from RNAcentral.